GUGCUCACUUUGGCAGCACACAUAUUAAGAUUAGAACAAUGCUGAGAAGACUGGUAUGGGUCCUGCCCAAGAAUGACUUGCAAGUUGGUGAAACAUUCCCUGUUAAA
This 107-nucleotide small nuclear RNA is filed under the name Chinchilla lanigera (long-tailed chinchilla). Lineage: Eukaryota; Metazoa; Chordata; Mammalia; Rodentia; Chinchillidae. The record is from RNAcentral.